ACCGUUUUAUUUUUAAAAUAUACCGUAAAUAUACUGACGAAUUAUUAAAGUUCCAUCAUACAUAUUCCUGAUUUUUGAUAUUCCGUCGAACAUUACUAGGUAGAUAGCACAUUUAGCUAUGCCCACAUAAUUUUAUUCAAUUAAUGAACCUAUUUUCUACUUGACUAGCUUAUUUUAAAUACUCCCUUUUAUUGGAUUGUGUCUAAAAUAAGGUUUAAAACGUAAGUGUGUAUGGAAUGUUACGUCAUUGCUGGUCAACAGGUAUCCGCUCUGACAUCUCUAUACCCCACUUCAUUUGAUUUAUAUACAAAUUCUGUUUUUCAAGCUGAUUUCGUUACCUUUACUCAUCCUUGGCCUUCGUAAGCCACCUUGAACUGCAAACGCUUGUUGAAAUAGCUUUCUGGCAGAGGUCAGUCUCUUAUAGUCUUAUAGAGGUAUGCGGAAAUAAAUGUGUAUCAAUAAGUAUUGCAUAUAUAUCUUUGCCCACAUAUUUUCUGUAUGAUUUUCUCCACUACAUGGUAGUGGUAAUGUAUCAUGGCUUGUGGUGCCACUGAUCAAUCGACCCUCGGACACGCUCACUUGGACAGUGGGCUUCACCAGAGAACUUUUAUUUGCAUUUGUGGAGACAUCAGGCAGCUGUGAAUGGCAUAUAUUAGAUAGAUAUACUCCUCCACGCCUCGCUGGAGCUGACUCCUUUAUAAAUUUGGUUUGAGUGGGGUGGGAGUGGUCCCCCAAAGAAAGUUCGAAGAAAAACCAUAAAUUAUGUCAAAAAUAUAACGAAAUCCCAUAAUUAA
Long non-coding RNA from Drosophila pseudoobscura, 794 nucleotides. RefSeq lists it as uncharacterized. The transcript has 2 exons. The record is from RefSeq and is a predicted model, not a curated record. Lineage: Eukaryota; Metazoa; Arthropoda; Insecta; Diptera; Drosophilidae.